CACGGAGAUAGCUGGUUCUCCCCGAAAUAGCUUUAGGGCUAGCCUUAACAAAGAGCUACCCGGAGGUAGAGCACUGAAUGGGCUAGGGGGCUUAUAGCUUACCAAACCUAAUCAAACUCCGAAUGCCGUUACUCCAAGCUUAGCAGUCGGACUCCGGGAGAUGAGUUUCGGGGUCGAGAGGGAAACAGCCCAGAUCAACAGCUAAGGUCCCCAAAUUUGUACUAAGUGGGAAACGAUGUGAAGUUACUGAAACAACCAGGAGGUUUGCCUAGAAGCAGCCACCCUUUAAAAAGUGCGUAACAGCUUACUGGUCGAGUGAUUUUGCGCGGAAAAUUCAACGGGGCUAAGUACAAUACCGAAGCUUUGAACUUCCGCCUUCGGGCGGGAUUGGUAGGGGAGCGUUCUGCCAGCGGUGAAGGUCGAUCGAAAGGACGGCUGGAGCGGGCAGAAGUGAGAAUGCAGACAUGAGUAGCGUAAAACACGUGAGAACCGUGUUCGCCGUAUAUCUAAGGUUUCCGACGCCAGGUCAAUCCGCGUCGGGUUAGUCAGGACCUUAGCCGAGGCCGAGAGGCGUAGGCGAUGGACAGCCGGUCAACAUUCCGGCACCACUUAAGUAGAGUGAUGGAGGGACGCAACGAGGUAGGCCAGCCCACGAUUGGUUGUGUGGGUGAAUUGCAUGUCAGCCGUUGAGAUCUAUAGGAAAAUCCGUAGAUCGAGGUGAGAUGCCGUUACGAGCCUAUAAGGCGUAAGUGAGUUGAGCCUUGUUGCCGAGAAAAGCUUCUAAACGAUGAAACUUGAGUGCCUGUACCGCAAACCGACACUGGUAGAUGGGUAGAGUAUACCAAGGCGAACGGGAGAACCCUUGUUAAGGAACUAGGCAAUUUGACCUCGUAACUUCGGGAUAAGAGGUGCCCCUUGACGUGAAUGAAUAAUGAGCGUCGGGGGGUCGCAGUGAAAUGGUUCUAGGGACUGGUUACCAAAACCACAGGUCUCUGCAAAGUCGUAAGACGAUGUAUAGGGGCUGACACCUGCCCAGUGCCGGAAGGUUAAAGGGAGGGGUUAGGCGCAAGCCGAAGCUCUGAACUGAAGCCCCGGUGAACGGCGGCCGUAACUAUAACGGUCCUAAGGUAGCGAAAUUCCUUGUCGGGUAAGUUCCGACCCGCACGAAAGGUGUAACAACUAGAACAGUGUCUCAACAAGGGACCCGGCGAAAUUGAAAUGGCCGUGAAGAUGCGGCCUACCCGCAGUAGGACAAAAAGACCCCGUGGAGCUUUACUGCAGCUUGACAUUGAGUUAGGAUUUCAUUUGUGUAGGAUAGGUGGGAGGCUAUGAAGCUAGGGCGCCAGCCUUGGUGGAGCCAUCCGUGAAAUACCACCCUGAUGAAAUUUUGACCCUAACCCCAUACCGUUAUCCGGAUGGGGGACCGUGUCAGGUGGGCAGUUUGACUGGGGCGGUCACCUCCCAAAGAGUAACGGAGGUGCCCAAAGGUUCCCUCAGGCUGAAUGGAAACCAGCCUAAGAGUGUAAAGGCAUAAGGGAGCUUGACUGCAAGGCCAACGCGCCGAGCAGAUACGAAAGUAGGGCUUAGUGAUCCCACGGUUCCGAGUGGAAGGGCCGUGGCUCAUCGGAUAAAAGCUACCCCGGGGAUAACAGGCUAGUCAGGUCCAAGAGUUCAUAUCGACGACCUGGCUCGGCACCUCGAUGUCGGCUCAUCGCAUCCUGGGGCUGGAUAAGGUCCCAAGGGUCGGGCUGUUCGCCCGUUAAAGCGGUACGCGAGCUGGGUUCAGACCGUCGUGAGACAGGUCGGUCUCUAUCCACUGUGGGCGUAAGUGAUUUGAAAGGAUCUGUUCCUAGUACGAGAGGACCGGAAUGGACAGACCUCUGGUUUGCCAGCUGUCGUGCCAACGGCAUAGCUGGGUAGCUACGUCUGGCAAAGAUAACCGCUGAAAGCAUCUAAGUGGGAAACUUGCCUUAAGAUUAGAUCACUUUUAUCGUCAAGAUAGUAAGAUCGCAGGUAGACCACCUGCUUGAUAGGCAGUAUGUGUAAGUGCAGCAAUGCAUUGAGCUAAACUGUACUAAUGAUCGAGGGCUUCAAACGU
RNAcentral lists this ribosomal RNA (2098 nucleotides) under Anaerolineaceae bacterium UBA4929. RNAcentral describes it as "bacterial LSU rRNA". It matches the Rfam family "Bacterial large subunit ribosomal RNA", at positions 838 to 2925 of the family's 2925-position model. The record is from RNAcentral. Lineage: Bacteria; Bacillati; Chloroflexota; Anaerolineae; Anaerolineales; Anaerolineaceae.